Potamilus streckersoni is the source of this 73-nucleotide non-coding RNA. The record is from the annotation of a GenBank genome assembly. NCBI's taxonomy places the organism in Eukaryota, Metazoa, Mollusca, Bivalvia, Unionida, Unionidae.
GCUUUGAUGGGCUAGUGUUUAAAGCGUCCGCCUUGGGUGUGGGAGGCCGCGGGUUCGAACCCCGGCUGAGUCA